UUUCCUGUGCUGUUCUCAUGAUAGUGAAUGGGUCUCACAAGAUCUGAUGGAUUUAAAGACGGGAGUUUCUCUGCACAAGCUCUCUCUUUUUGCCUGCUGCCGUCCACAUAAGAUGUGACUUGCUCCUCCUUGACUUUUGCCUUCCACCAUGAUUGUGAGGCCUCCCCAGCCACAUGGAACUGUUGGAGUGCAGUGGCACAAUCUCGGCUCACUGCAGUCUCUGCCUCCCGAGUAGGGAAUCAAGGGAUUCUCCUGCCUCAGCCUCCAGAGUGGCUGUGAUUACAGGAACCUGCCACCACGCCCAGCUAAUUUUUGUAUUUUUAGUAGAGAUGGGGUUUUGCCAUAUUUGCCAGGCUGGUCUCGACCUCCUAACCUUAGCCUCAGCCUCCCAAAGUGCUGGGAUUACAGGCAUGAGCCACCACGCCUGGCCAAAAUUAAAAUUUUUGUGCUUCGAAGGACACCAUCAAAAAUGUGAAAAGACAACCAACAUGUUUCCAAAGGCUUUAUUGGUAAAUAUUCUUUAGAAAAGAAUGAUCAAUCCUGUUGCUUCCAAGUCAAUGGAAUGAAGAACCAUGUCCAGGGACACUCCAAGCAGUGCUGAAGAAGACCGCUGCUGUGUCCACCUCUUGUUCAUAGGCCCAGUCAUAAGCACAAGACUUGUAAUCAACCAGCUCUUCAGGUUAAGUUUUUCCCACCCACAGACUCUGACCUUGGAAAUAUGUAGUGCCAUCAACUGUCUUGGUUUCCCAGGGCUGAGGGUAUUUGGGGACAUGGAGCCAUAAACCAUAGGCUGAUUUAUUUUUCAGCACUUUUUACUGAGUCACUGCCAUGAAUGAUGUCCCUGCCAACCUGAAUGCAGAAGUCCCCGCCACUGGUGCCUGGCUUAGAAUCCGUUGGAUUGGUCUCCCAAGCAUCACUCGGCCUGUCUCCACUACACUCAGUCCCUCCUCCAUGGCCAUGAGUUCAUGUACUUCACCAGCCCAGGGAGGAAUGGACAGUCUUUCAGGUCAGGGUAGAGCUGCUUCAGGUGUUCCUCAGAGGCCCAAAGGUGGAAUCCCUUCAGCUCAAAGUGCCUCAUGACAUUGCCCAGCAGGCCCCACCGCACACCGUGUGGCUUCAUGGAGAUAAAGGUGCGCUCGAGGUUGGACAUGGUCUGGGAAGCUGAUGGGGCAGGCAGUGGCUGCACUGCAGGAGCUGAGAGCUGCAGUGACCUGCACCCAGAUUUCCUAUCAUGAGCAUUAGAACACAUAUCUCUCCUGCUUCAGCCUUGCCAGUAAGAACAAGAACUCUCCUCUGCAGAUAGCCCCUGCCUCACUCCUUCCCAUUCUUGUGCUUCCUUCUUCAUAUACCAGUGAUGAAUUUCCCAUGACUUGGGGAGAAAAAUCCAACUGGAAGUGGAAGGAGAUAGUAGUGGUGGUGGUGGAGGGGGUGGUGCGGGGUAGAGGAAGAGUUAGUGAUGAAUCAUGAAUACUUAGGUAAUAUAAUGGGACAGGCUUGGGCAGGAAGAAACACUGGGGCAGGACAGUUCAUGUGAAGAAAAAAAAUGUUGUUCUGGGAGAUGCAGGUCAGAGCAGGGCCGUUAAGUCAAAACCACCGGCACUGUAGAGAUGAAUAUUGUAACCAGCUUUUAUUUUAAUUCAGGCUGUCCCCACAUCCAACCCCCCUUUUUUAAUUUGCAAGAAUCCUCCACCUUGUGUGGUGUCCGUGGGAUGUGGUACCUCAACUCUUACCAAAGAAUAUCAGGAUGAAGUCUUCCUCCUUCACGCCCAUCAUGGAGGUGGGAGCACAUGACCCAAGCUGGUUAAUCCAAUGCCCAGGGACCAGAGUUGAAGGGCAGUUAGCAUCUUUCACCGUGUACCACAUGGUUAUGGUACCCAGCGAUAGAAGAGGCAUUCAGUACUGGCACGUCCUCUGGAAGUGGAGAGCUGAUUUUGGAUAGCCCUGGUCAGUUGCUGUUACUUGCAUCAAACAGUCCUGAUUACAUCAUGACCUCUCUUUGAUCCAGAAGCUGUAAAUUUCUACAUGCCUUCAGGCAAACUCAGCUCUGUCUUCAAAUAAAAUAGAGGCAAAUCAGAUAGCUUUUUUCCCCUUAAAGACAAAUUCCUUCCAAGGAUUAUCAAUAUAUUUAUUAAUCUCUUCUCUUUAUGGGCAGAAAAAAAGUCCCCAUGAAUUUAAAAUGUGAAAAUAUAUUUAUUGACUUAAAGAUAUAAUAAUUUUAGGGAAGCAAAAUAGUUGUGUUCAAUUAUUUUCACAGCAAGAUGCCUGUAAAAUGUAUAUAAUUGGAUUGAUUGGCACUGUUAAUGACUCUUCAGAUAUGUACAAAUCUAGUCAUACGCUCUAAAAUUUGCAGAGACAAAUCAAUUUAAUAUGCUUUAUUCACUUUCUAAGUUUAACAUUGGGAUAUAUUGUGAUUGAAUAAAACAUUCAGAUGUGCUCUAAUUUACAUUUUGCCCACAAAAUAAUUCCCAAUUCUGCUUCAUUCAUACCAUUGUUUAGUAUUGUGGUUGUGUUCAUCAUUUCUUAGCAAGGAGAACAUAAGUUUCAUCUAUUACCAGCUGAAUGAUUUGACUCAAAAGGCAAUUAAAAAUCACACUCUUGGGAGGCCAAGGCAGGUAGAUCAUGAGGUCAGGAGAUCGAGACCAUCCUGGCUAACACAGUGAAACCCCAUCUCUACUACUGAAACUACACACACACACACACACACACACACACACACACACACACACACACACAGAGAAUUAGCCGGGCAUGGUGGCAUGUGCCUGUAUUCCCAGCUAUUCGGGAGACUGAGGCAGGAAAAUUGCUUGAACCCCGGAGGCGGAGGUUGCAGCAAGCCAAGAUCACGCCACUGCACUCCAGCCUGGGCGACAGAGCGAGACUCCAUCUCAAAAAAAAAAAAAAAAUCACAUUCAACCUAGACAGUGUUACCAGUUGAGCCACAGGUCAAGCCCAGGUUUAAUGUAAAAGAGGACCACACUGGGAGUAGGCAUGAAAACUGAGAGUCAUGGUCCAUUGGACACCAUCUUUGAAUGACUCACUUGGCCGCCUGCUUUUUAUUUUCUCUAUAAAAUGGAUUAACUAUUGCCUGACUGUCAAUCACUAUCACUUUCAAGAUAUCUUCACUUAAUAACAGGUUGUUAUGAGGAUUAAAUAAAGCUUGGGAAAAUUCUAGUGACUGCUCCCUAUGGAUGAACAGAGAUAGACUUAAACUUGAAAUGAUACAAAUCUAGUGAGCAUAGAAAAAUUCUGGAUCCGAAGACUUCAGUGGGUUAAAAGGAUGGACUUACUUUAGGAACAUGCAAUUCAAUAGAGGUAGAAGAAAACUCCAACAGUUGGAUCUAUAAAUACUAAUGAAAAAAUUGAUGAGUAGAUGAAUGACUUAAGAGACCAAUGUGGAAAAGAAUGAAAGGUUUAAGUAGAUAAUAAAACAGUGAGAUAUGAAGAACUAAAAAUACUUCAUCCAGAUUUUUUUAAAUGCUUCAGUGGGACAUAGUAGUUUUCUUCAAAUAUGUGAAGACUUUCAUAAGCAGACAUGGUAGACUUGCUCUUGAAAGGCGUAUCAGCGGGUUAGAGGUGAAAGUCUGCAAGAACAAUUCUGGCUACUCAAGAGAUUUUCCAACUUGGCAAGAAUGGAAAGAACCUUGGGACAUAGUCUUGAGCUGCCCAUCACUCUCAGGGCUUAAACGAGAUUGAAUAUUCAUUGCUGAAAAUGUCAAAAAAGGGAUUCAAAGAUCAGUCAGCUGGCCAAGCAAGGUGAUCUUUAGAGUGCCCUUCCAAACCUGAGAUUCUAGAUUUCCAAGCCUUGACUCUUAACAUCUGUCAUGGAACCAUUAUAGCACCAUCUGCCCAAUUUCCCCGCUGAUGAUUUCACCUGACUAUGUAAUCCUGGAAGAGGGGUGAUGCCCAUUAACUUGUAGUUGGUUUAUAUAAGCUAGAGCAAGCUGUGUGGUUUGAAUCAUGUAUGUGUCCAUAGGAAUCUAAAAUAAUUGGCCAACUGUAAGCAGUGUUGUUGAAUUUCAUAUUUGGUGAAUAUGUAAAAUGCUUUGAAUUACAUUGAAACUUCCUAAGUUAACUUUAAUAUGUUCAUGGACAUUCAUUAUUUUCUCGUAUUUCCACAAGUUAGAGAUAGCUUUCCAAUGGACAAAUCUUUGCCUUUUAUCUUAAGGAGCUGAGGUGAUUCAAGCAAGCCAUUUGGAAGUUCAUAAUUUUGUGGUUUUUUCCUUGUAAAAUUGUCUUCACGAAGGAAUUAAGUAAGCAAUAUUUGUUUUCAUUGAGAAUAUAAUUUUAUUUACAACUGAUCUAUUGUAGAAUUUGGGUUCAACCUAGGAAAUUAUUUUCCUCACAUAAGAAAAAAUACAUCCAGUUUCUUGCUAGAAAAAUAAUCACUACUUGUUUUGUACAUUUAAAAUCAUGAAUUUCUAUUCUACUGGUUGUCAAAAUAAAGUUAAUUUAACUUAUUUUUUCCUCUGCCCUUGGCCCUUUUGGAGGGAGACUGGUCAUUCCACAGUCGUUCAUUCAAGCUUUGGCCACUAGGUGGAGUACUAGUUAAACAUUGGCUGGCCUGCUUGCAAUCUCACCUUGCACUUGAAAAACGCCAAUUUUUUAGUCUUGUUAUCAAAAGACCAAUUUCAUUCACUUUAAAAUAAUUGUAUUUAUUCUAGCAUUUGUCUCACAUGGAAG
This 4680-nucleotide long non-coding RNA is filed under the name Homo sapiens (human). Its description in RNAcentral is "LHRI_LNC1523.14". The record is from RNAcentral. Lineage: Eukaryota; Metazoa; Chordata; Mammalia; Primates; Hominidae.